This 189-nucleotide ribosomal RNA is filed under the name Anteaglonium sp. Its description in RNAcentral is "partial large subunit ribosomal RNA". The record is from RNAcentral. Lineage: Eukaryota; Fungi; Ascomycota; Dothideomycetes; Pleosporales; Anteagloniaceae.
AAGCGCUUGCAGCCAGACUUGCCCGCGGUCGUUCUUCUUCCGCGGGCAGGCCAGCAUCAGUCUGGGCGGUCGGAUAAAGGCCUCGGGAACGUAGCUCUCUCCGGGGAGUGUUAUAGCCCGGGGCGUCAUGCGGCCAGCCCGGACUGAGGUCCGCGCAUCUGCUAGGAUGCUGGCGUAAUGGCUGUAAGC